This 492-nucleotide ribosomal RNA is filed under the name uncultured bacterium. RNAcentral describes it as "partial 16S ribosomal RNA". It matches the Rfam family "Bacterial small subunit ribosomal RNA", at positions 29 to 507 of the family's 1533-position model. The record is from RNAcentral.
AGUGAACGCUGGCGGUAGGCCUAACACAUGCAAGUCGAACGGCAGCACAGUAAGAGCUUGCUCUUACGGGUGGCGAGUGGCGGACGGGUGAGGAAUACAUCGGAUUCUCCUUUUUCGUGGGGGAUAACGUAGGGAAACUUACGCUAAUACCUCAUACGACCUACGGGUGAAAGCAGGGGAUCUUCGGACCUUGCGCGAUUGAAUGAGCCGCUGUCGGAUUAGCUAGUUGGCGGGGUAAAGGCCCACCAAGGCGACGAUCCGUAGCUGGUCUGAGAGGAUGAUCAGCCACACUGGAACUGAGACACGGUCCAGACUCCGACGGGAGGAAGCAGUGGGGAAUAUUGGACAAUGGGCGCAAGCCUGAUCCAGCCAUACCGCGUGGGUGAAGAAGGCCUUCGGGUUGUAAAGCCCUGUUGUUGGGAAAGAAAAGCAGCAGGUUAAUACCCCGCUGUUCUGACGGUACCCAAAGAAUAAGCACCGGCUAACUUCGUG